UCGCGCGUCCCAAGCCGCACCUCGAGCCCCGCCCCGCCCCGCCGCAUCCGCCGACUCCCAUUGGCCGAGGGGAGUGGCUCGAGGCUCGCCUGUUCCAAUCGCGCCCAAUGGGAGCUUGGGGACUGGCCCUCGAAGCGGGAGGCGGGGCUGGAGGCGGUGGCCACCGGCAGAAGCGCGCGUGUAGCGCCCGCGAGGAAUCGCAGCGUCCGGCUCCGCGGUCCGGAGCCUCCCUAGCGCAAUACGAAGCUGCCUGGGGCGCCUGGGGGGAGGAGUUUGCAGUGGGGUGAUUUUCGAAUAUCUUCACCUCACUGCGGGAGGAGGAGUUUCGAGAGGAGGAGUUUCGAACGGCCGAUGUUACAAGGGCUGUUAACCCGUGAAGCCCUGAGUCGGAUUCCAGUCUUUUCCAAACCUCGCUCCCGAAUCGUCUAAUAGGCUAAUGACCAUCGCCCCCUGUGCCUCCAAAGGGAAAACGGGACGUAUCGGAAACUUUACCGUCGCCUUUCCCUACUUGCCUUUGCCUUUCUCGGAAUCGUAUAGAGAUGUUAACGGAGUUUUCUUCAAAAUACUCAUCAGUGAGGAAUUUAAAUAAAAUCUUCACAAAAGUACAGUCCCCAACUGAUCCAGUGAAUCCAGCGUUUGGAUCAAUAUGAGCAAAAACAUCUCUAAAAUCAUUGAUCCAGUC
Long non-coding RNA from Panthera uncia (snow leopard), 682 nucleotides. RefSeq lists it as uncharacterized. Lineage: Eukaryota; Metazoa; Chordata; Mammalia; Carnivora; Felidae. The record is from RefSeq and is a predicted model, not a curated record. The transcript has 2 exons.